UCCCGUACCGCGAAAUAUGUAGGCCUUCGCGGGCCAUCCCGCGGGACAUCGAAUAUUACAUUGCUUAUUUCUACAUGCACAAACAAACAUAGACAAUAAUUGAGUUUGAGCUUACACAUGAUCGAGCAUACUCUUAAAAGAUCAAUACAUUAAGCUUAUACAAAACAAAUGUUUUUUAUUAUCAUUUAUAAUGGCUUGAAGAAGCUCCACCGGUGCAGACCAGAGACGCUUGGGAGACCGGAAGCAUCAUCGACCCCUGAAACCACCAUCAACGGAGCUCCAUAAUGUCUAAUCCCCCUCUCUCUCUCUCUCUCUCUCUCUCUCUCUCUCUCUCUCUCUCUCUCUCUCUCUCUCUCUCUCUCUCUCUCUCUCUCUCUCUCUCUCUCUCUCUCUCUCUCUCUCUCUCUCUCUCUCUCUCUCUCUCUCUCUCUCUCUCUCUCUCUCUCUCUCAGGUGAAAGCUUCAAAAUCCCGCGGUUUAACCCAUCCCGCUUUCGACCCGUCCCGCUUUGAGCCCAUCCCACUUUGAACCCGUCCCGCUUUAGACCCGUCCCGCGAGGCCCGCAAUUUUGCGGGUUUAUCAAAUGGAGGCCCAAUCCCGCCCCGCAGCAAGCCUUUACAGGCCAGGCCCGCGGUCCAAGUCCUUGAUUGCCAUCCCUAUUGGUGUAGGAUGUUUAUAUCGACUGUGAAGAGAUUGCACGUUUUAAAAACCUCCCACGUCUCCAUGCUCUCACCUAUAAAACAUGGCAUGGAAUAGAGUGAGGUUCACCAAUACACCAGUUCGAUGUUUUGUUUAAAAUUUAAUUUAUGUAAACCAUGGGGCUUGGUUUGAUUUACUGAGAUUUCUUUUAUUGUUACUUAGAUUUUGCUUUUUCAAAUUAUGCUCUAUGUUUUUCGUUAUGCUUAUGGAAGACGAAUUUGUGUAAAUAUGAUGUUUGCUUAAGUAAUCUGGGUGGUAUUACUAUGUUA
This is a long non-coding RNA of Raphanus sativus (radish), 967 nucleotides long. RefSeq lists it as uncharacterized. The transcript is spliced from 2 exons. NCBI's taxonomy places the organism in Eukaryota, Viridiplantae, Streptophyta, Magnoliopsida, Brassicales, Brassicaceae. The record is from RefSeq and is a predicted model, not a curated record.